AAAUUGAAGAGUUUGAUCAUGGCUCAGAUUGAACGCUGGCGGCAGGCCUAACACAUGCAAGUCGAACGGUAACAGGAAGCAGCUUGCUGCUUCGCUGACGAGUGGCGGACGGGUGAGUAAUGUCUGGGAAGCUGCCUGAUGGAGGGGGAUAACUACUGGAAACGGUGGCUAAUACCGCAUAACGUCGCAAGACCAAAGAGGGGGACCUUCGGGCCUCUUGCCAUCAGAUGUGCCCAGAUGGGAUUAGCUAGUUGGUGAGGUAACGGCUCACCAAGGCGACGAUCCCUAGCUGGUCUGAGAGGAUGACCAGCCACACUGGAACUGAGACACGGUCCAGACUCCUACGGGAGGCAGCAGUGGGGAAUAUUGCACAAUGG
RNAcentral lists this ribosomal RNA (377 nucleotides) under Salmonella enterica subsp. enterica. RNAcentral's name for it is "bacterial SSU rRNA". It matches the Rfam family "Bacterial small subunit ribosomal RNA", at positions 1 to 374 of the family's 1533-position model. RNAcentral also lists the same sequence under 1 other name. Lineage: Bacteria; Pseudomonadati; Pseudomonadota; Gammaproteobacteria; Enterobacterales; Enterobacteriaceae. The record is from RNAcentral.